Pangasianodon hypophthalmus (striped catfish) is the source of this 5625-nucleotide RNA transcript. It is a transcript of the gene named SH3 domain and tetratricopeptide repeat-containing protein 1, with no coding region annotated. The record is from RefSeq and is a predicted model, not a curated record. Lineage: Eukaryota; Metazoa; Chordata; Actinopteri; Siluriformes; Pangasiidae. The transcript has 19 exons.
AAGGAACAUUCACCUAAUGGAUGGAUUCAUUUUCUUUACAGCACUUUGCCACUCACUGAGGCAGCUUUAUAUAAUCCCGAAUCAGACAUAUUUCUUUGUUUCAUGUGUGUAUAUGACUCUUAACGGGACAGUAAAGUGUAAAAUGUAAAGUAUCCUCUAGUUUCGAGUUGCGCUUUUAUCUGAGGAUCCCGGAGCAGCGCGCGUGACCUGGGCUCCGUCCCAAACAGCACACUAAUAUAACUGUAAGUGGUAGCCUACUAUUUCGACAUACGGUUUGGGGCAUAGCCCGUGUCACACGGCUAUUUACCAGAGCACUUAGGAUUCGUACUAUUUAGCAAGGUAGGUAGGAUGAUGGUUUGGACGCAGCCACAGUCACACGGCUCUCCGCGUAAAGGCGGUGUUCUGUUUUGAUAUAUAAUUUCAUCAGUAGUGUGUGAUUUGGGACGUAGCCAGUCGCAGGGGGCUUUGAUGAAGGCUACUUUGAUGUUGAUUAUGGAUCAGCAAAACACGGCGAGUUUCAGGGUGAAAUCCGGCUCCCAAAGAUUUGGAGAGUACCGCCAGGAGUUGUAUGUGGAGUACUCCAGCAAUGAUGUGGAUAAUAAAGACACUUCUAAAACCGUGGACAUGGAACAUAAGCCGUUAAGAGCAACAGGGAGUAUAAAAGGGACCUCAGCAGUUUCUGAAGACAAGAUCCCCACAGUGUUGGCUCUUCAGCUGGCUAUAGCAGAAGGUCCAGACCGGCUUCCUGCUGACAAGGACACACAGGAAGUUCUGUGCGGGAAGCUGCGUGUACUGGAGACUGACCUCAGCAAUAUUUCAUCCUUGAUCUCUGAAUUCUCUGCUCAUCUGGUGUCCAUCAACAGUGAGGAAAGAACCAUAUUUAUCACUUUUAAAUCAUUUGAAGAAAUAUGGAAGUUCAGCACAUACCACAGAAUGGGUUUCCUGCGUCAGUGUUUGGGGAACCUUCUUUUGGACCAAGAAUUCUGGCUUAAUGCUUUAGACCAGGAGGACUCAGGAAUUGAGGUCUCAAUUAAAGAGGAGGUUCUUAAUCAGAUGUACAAAGGCUUUCUGAUGCAAGAAGGCUCAUUUUUUGGGAGUUGCACAGUGAAUCAGAUGUUUGACAGCUGCACAUCAGGCAGUGAUCUUUAUCUUGAGAAGGGCGAUAUUGCUCUGUUUGAGCCUCCAUUCCUGGGCUCGGGUUGGACUGUGCUAUCCUUGGCAGAUGGAUCAAGAGGGACUAAAGCACAGCCAGCCCUGGAACCUGUCAUUCCAUUUCAUGAGUGGUUUCUAAAGUCCUGUCCUGAGUGGGUUUUGGUAGGCAGUGGAAAAAAAUGCUGUGAUCUCCCGUAUCAAAUUGCUGUAGGUAUCUGUGAGGCUACAGAGGUCUAUGAUGGUAAUGGACCCGAUGAGCUCAGCUUUGAGGCUGGUGAUCGCAUCAUCAUCGAGGGCCUGCUGGUGACCUGUUUUGAGUGGUUCAUGGGCAAGCUGGAGAGGACUGGUGAUAUGGGACUUGUCAAAACCAGCCUUGUAAAAGAAACCGAUUCUCUUUGUGAAUCUAAUGAAAUCUUUAUGAAACAAGAAGACAGAAAAAUCUUCAACUUGGAACAAGAGACGAUUAAAAAGGAAGCUAUUGCUUUUUUAAAGAAAACCUGCCAAAGCAAUGUUGCUACAGUCUACAAACUUGAUUCAGCAAGUCCAAGAUCAAUUCAAAAUGGACCCACCAACAGUGAACAUGUAUGCAUGAAAAGAAAUAUUGCCAAUAUUUUGAAUGAAAUAAGGGAACCUCUUCAGAAUGAGCAGACACAGACACAAGACAGUGUGAAGCUCCAAACCGACGAGCCCACAGGAUCCACAGAGUCACCGCAAGAAAUCCCACACUUUACUGUAUGUUCAGAGCAGGAUGGUACCAAUCCAGAUGGAUACCAUUCCCUCCUGUCCUUCCUAGGCAGCCGUGAUCACCGGCCUGAGUUUCAGCCUCUCUAUGCUGCCUACCCAGAAUUCCUCCUGUUGCAUUUCCAGGGCCACAGCGAUGAGGAGGAGCUGGUAGCGUAUUUAGGUGUUGCUCGGGAAGCUGCAAGAAAAAAGCGGAUGUCAUGGGCACAGAGCAGAAUCUGUUUCCUCUUGGGACAGCUGUGUGCGGGAAGGUCAAAGUUCUCCCAGGCACGCGUCUAUUAUGAAGAAGCCUUAAGCGUACCCAGAGACUAUUUCACAGACAUGUACCUUCUCUCAGCUAUCUACUCUAACCUGGCCCUCAUCUAUCUCACACAAAAAAAUGCAGAGAAGUAUCUUGCUCUAUCUGAACGUUUUGCUGCUUUAUUGAUGGCAGUCUGUGACUAUUUAUCUGGCACAGAAGACCCAGAGGUGUUGAAGUUUGCAUUGAAAAAGGCAGUUCUGUCCCAGAACAAACCUGCAGAAGCCAGGGUCUGCUUCCUGCUAGCCAAGUUUUAUCUGAAGCUUGGAGAAGGGACGAAUGCAGUGCCUUUCAUUGAACGGCUACAGAUUUUGGCUGAUGAGAUGCCUGGAGCUUGUGACAAGUUGCGGAGUCAUGGUUUUUUACUGUUAGCAAGGCUUUAUAGUGACUAUGGUCUUCUUCAUCUAGCUGAAAGCUCAGCAUGGCAAGCAUGUCUGCAGGUGUCUUCCUCAGUCACUGAUUGUUUCUGCAGCGUCUCUUUGCUGUUAGAGAAUGGCCGAGAACUGUAUGGUGUGGACAUCCCAGCACAAGUGGCUCCAUGUUUGACUCGAGCUGCUGCUAUGGAAUCUGCUGACAUGGAGCCCAGCCUUUCACAUGCCUAUGCCCUGUGUCUGUCUUGGCUUUUCCACAAGCAUGGCAUGCCUAAAAGGGCAAUUCAGUACAUGUGUAGCUUCCUCAACCAUUCCUCUGCUACCACACUGAGCCGUUCUGAUGCCAGUGCUGCUCUUAUCUGGCUAGCGUGGUUAUAUAUCUGUGACUUGCAGCACCACAGUGCUCUGGAUGUGCUGGACUCAGUCCUGUCCUCCCUCCCCGAGCACCGCACAACCCAGCUGGAGGGUGUCAUCUAUAAUAUGCGUGGCAUCACUUUGAGACAUGCUGGUGAUGUAAAACAAGCUGCAGAGAACUUCCAUGCUGCGGUUGAUGUCUGUGAGGAGUUUGAAGAUAAGCACAACUGGGCCACAGCACUGGCCAACUUUGGCUUCUUGAGUCUGCAGGUCAAUGCGAAGAGGGUAGCAGAGGAGCAGCUCACCCAGGCAGUAGAGCUGUUCUCUGAGCUAGAGGAUAAAGAUCUAGAGAUAAAGCUGAACUUUGUUGUUGUGCUUCUGGAGCUUGGGAAGCUUUAUGUCUCACAGGGUUUUUAUGAGAAAGGAAAGGUCUGCUAUGAGUGGGCCCUGCUGAUUUCCAUCGUCUAUGAUAACUCAGAGCGCCAACUGCAAGCCACCCGUCACCUGUGCCAGCUGUAUAGUGAAGCAUGUCCUGAUGAAGUUCAGUGUAUCAUCUAUAAUGAACACCAGCUGAACCUGCUGCACCAGACAGGAGACAGAACCCUGGAGGCAGAGAUAUUGGAGAAGAUCAGCCAGCUGUACCUCAGCCUGGGCACCAAAAAAGCAAAUAGAUAUGCUCUGGACUACACCAAAAGAAGUAUAGGGAUCUACAUCGACAUGGGGAGGAAGAGGAAAGAGGCUCACGGUUGGCUCCAGGCAGGAAAAAUCUACCACAUCCUCAAACAGACUGAGCUGGUGGAUCUCUAUGUGCAGGUAGCGCAAGACAUUGCUUUAAGCACAGGAGACACACUAUUCAUUCUGGAGCUGCUGGAGGCCGCAGGGGACGCAUUCUUUAACAGCACACUGGACAGAGAGAAAGCUGUCUGCUUCUACAGGGACCGAGCCCUCCCGAUUGCAGUGAAAUCAAGCAGUGUGCGUUGUCAGCUCAGAUUGUGCAAUAAGCUAGCAGAGUUGCUGCUACAGCUGGGACAGUAUGGAGAAGCUCUGGAGUAUGCGCAGACUGCAUUAGAGAUCAGCGUCAGUCUGGCUGACCGUUUGAACGAGCGUGUGGCGUUCCAUCGUCUGGCUACGCUCUACCACUGCCUGAGUCAGUUUGAGCUUGCUGAGCACCACUUCCUAAAGGCCCUCUCGCUCUGUCCCUCGCCCUUGCAGUUUGAUGAGGAAGCCCUGUACUAUGUCAAGGUCUAUCAGACACUAGGUGACAUUACCUUCUACGAUCUAAAGGAUCCAUUUGAUGCAGCAGGUUAUUACCACCUCGCCCUGGCAGCUGCCAUGGACCUGGGCAAUAAGAAGUCUCAGCUUGAGCUGUGCACUCGCCUGGCCACAGUCUACCACAACUUCCUCAUGGAUCGUGAGCUCUCCCUGCACUUCUACCAACGUGCCCGAGCCUUCGCUGCUGAUCUUAAUAUCCGCCGCAUCAACCUAUCACCAAAUCAGAGUUUCCGCACCACAUCCCAAUACAGAAUCACAGCCUUGCAGGAGACAACCUAGACAGUCAAAGUGUACUGAGAAAACAGAAACCUAAACUGCACUGAAGCACACCACUGUAAUUUUUACAGACCAGAUGCUUUGUGUAGUGGUUCAUUUGCUUUCAUUUGUGUUGACUGGCUUGCUGAUAUUUGAGGUCAGAAAACCUGACUGAUUCAACAUUUGCCCUCAUCUGAUUACUCGUGUUGCUCCAGCAGUCAGAUUUAGCAAGAGUGUCAACUAAAGGACAAAAUAUCUCUUUGCCUGUAAUGGAUCCAGGGUGUAUUCCUGCUUCAUUUCCAGUAUUCCUGGGAUGGGCGCCAGACUCACUUCAACCUUGAACAGGAUAAAGCGAUUACUGAAAAAUACCACAUCCACAAAUAGAUGGAAAGAAAGAAUAAACCAAUGAAUAUUAAUAGAAACUAGAUAAUUAAAGGCAAGCCUUUAAAUUUAAGUGUAACCUACAUAUGACUGGAGUAAUAUGCUCUGGUUAACAUACAUCUGGUUCUGACCUUUAAAUGAUAACACAGUUUUACAGAUGGUACUUAUGUAACACCCAAAUGAAAGACCAGCAUCAAGAGCAACUCCUAGGACCUUAGGAGUAGUUUGGAACAUUUUGUUUGCACAAAAAAAAAAAACCCAUAUGAAAACAAACACCAUCUUUGUUUCUAGCAGACUUAGUAUCAAAUGUAAAUCCUUACAUUUUAACAGUAUUUAAAAAACUCAUUAUAAACCUUUAAAUAAAAAAGGUUCGAAAUGGACAUUCAACUCUUCAUAUAAUGUCAGAAAAUCAUGCACAGCUGCUAAAUAUUGUUAAAUAAUUAAUGUAGACUCCCUAUCCUAAGUUGUCCUGCAGAAUUACAUGAUUUAAGCAAUGGUUUAACUCCUGGAAUCAAGUGAAAACAAAGAGAUGCUCUGUUUUCACUAAGUGCUGAAAAUGACUAGUGUUACGGUUUCAAAUAAAUAUUUUCAUGGCUGGUGUGAUCCCACAACUCGACCUGAACUGCUCUUCUCUGACAAAACAAACAGCAGAAGCUAAAACUCUGAUACUUGCAAGUGUGUAUGUGUUAGAAAGACAUGACCAACAUGUGUUGCAUGGGCCUGGACCAUAAACCCCUCUGCAGAACAGACCCAGCUGUACGAGAACACUGCAAGACCUCCUCCUGCUUUUUGUUUUUUAAA